UCCGUAGGUGGAUCAAUAAGUCAGAGGUGAAAUCCUGCAGCUCAACUGUAGAAUUGCCUUUGAUACUGGUUAUCUUGAGUCAUUAUGAAGUGGUUAGAAUGUGUAGUGUAGCGGUGAAAUGCAUAGAUAUUACACAGAAUACCGAUUGCGAAGGCAGAUCACUAAUAAUGUACUGACACUGAUGGACGAAAGCGUGGGGAGCGAACAGGAUUAGAUACCCUGGUAGUC
This 228-nucleotide ribosomal RNA is filed under the name uncultured bacterium. Its description in RNAcentral is "partial 16S ribosomal RNA". It matches the Rfam family "Bacterial small subunit ribosomal RNA", at positions 568 to 795 of the family's 1533-position model. The record is from RNAcentral.